UACGUAGGGGGCGAGCGUUGUCCGGAUUUAUUGGGCGUAAAGAGCUCGUAGGCGGUUUGGCAAGUCGGGUGUGAAAACUCCGGGCUCAACUCGGAGACGCCACUCGAUACUGCUAUGACUCGAGUCCGGUAGGGGAGUGCGGAAUUCCUGGUGUAGCGGUGAAAUGCGCAGAUAUCAGGAGGAACACCGGUGGCGAAGGCGGUUCUCUGGGCAUGUCCUGACGCUGAGGAGCGAAAGUGUGGGGAGCGAACAGG
RNAcentral lists this ribosomal RNA (254 nucleotides) under uncultured bacterium. RNAcentral describes it as "partial 16S ribosomal RNA". It matches the Rfam family "Bacterial small subunit ribosomal RNA", at positions 524 to 776 of the family's 1533-position model. The record is from RNAcentral.